RNAcentral lists this ribosomal RNA (253 nucleotides) under uncultured bacterium. RNAcentral's name for it is "partial 16S ribosomal RNA". It matches the Rfam family "Bacterial small subunit ribosomal RNA", at positions 524 to 776 of the family's 1533-position model. The record is from RNAcentral.
UACGUAGGGUGCGAGCGUUGUCCGGAAUUACUGGGCGUAAAGAGCUCGUAGGUGGUUUGUCGCGUUGUUCGUGAAAACCGGGGGCUUAACCCUCGGCGUGCGGGCGAUACGGGCAGACUUGAGUUCGGUAGGGGAGACUGGAAUUCCUGGUGUAGCGGUGAAAUGCGCAGAUAUCAGGAGGAACACCGGUGGCGAAGGCGGGUCUCUGGGCCGAUACUGACGCUGAGGAGCGAAAGCGUGGGGAGCGAACAGG